RNAcentral lists this ribosomal RNA (253 nucleotides) under uncultured bacterium. Its description in RNAcentral is "partial 16S ribosomal RNA". It matches the Rfam family "Bacterial small subunit ribosomal RNA", at positions 524 to 776 of the family's 1533-position model. The record is from RNAcentral.
UACGAAGGGGGCUAGCGUUGCUCGGAAUCACUGGGCGUAAAGCGCACGUAGGCGGAUUGUUAAGUCAGGGGUGAAAUCCUGGAGCUCAACUCCAGAACUGCCUUUGAUACUGGCGAUCUUGAGUCCGGGAGAGGUGAGUGGAACUGCGAGUGUAGAGGUGAAAUUCGUAGAUAUUCGCAAGAACACCAGUGGCGAAGGCGGCUCACUGGCCCGGUACUGACGCUGAGGAGCGAAAGCGUGGGUAGCAAACAGG